GCCUGUUGAUUGUUCUUCUUCUCUUCAGUAAAAUCUUUACUUUUUGUCCCCCUCCCCCUCACAUCAUCUAUAUUAGGUUGAAAAAUCAUACAUGUGGGGCUACUGCGUUUUUUUAUUAGGUUUUCUUUUUUGCACCCAUAUAUAUCAUUUUGUAUAUAAGCUCAAUGCAUUUUUCUUUGUUCGAAGGCAAAAAUAUUUCAUACACAGUACAUAUAGGCUUUUAUUGGGGUUCCCUACAGAAUCGUUUCAAGCAAAUCUUAUGUAAAUACUCAUGUGACUGCUGUUAUGUAAUGUAAAUUAUUCUCACAUGUUGCUCUUUCACACUUGAAUCUCUGUUUUUGGAUCAUAAUAUUUUUGUUUUUUCCGUUUUAGUUUACAUAUUCUCACUUGUUGUUUCAUGGAGUAUUUGAUAAGCUUUUUAACUUGUCAUAUGCUAAUCUCGUUAAUCUGAUCUAGUAUGGCUUCUACCAUGUUUUGAGGUUCUAGAAUCCUUUACCACCGGUUUACCUUAUUUGAUUUCUUGAAUCGAUUUGAUCCCAAGAUCAUUCAUCUACAUGUAGGCUUUUUGUUGGGGUUCCUUUUCAAGCUAAUCUAGUGUAAAUUUCGGAGCUUAGAUUGUUGUGAGAUGGUAUUCAUAUCUAUAUAAUUAUCCCUAUCUCAUUCGUUUCUUUCAUGUUUAAAGGUGGAUCAAAUUCGGACUCCACCCAGGUCACACAGAAGAUACAAUAAAACCCCGGCGUACUCCCGAAAGAGAGAUGUCAGUUGGUUGUGCUCAUACAAUGAAACUUGGGGGUGUCACAUGAGUCUGGUUGUAAAAGAAUUGUAUGUAUUUUGAAAUCAGGUGUUAGUGAAACUAUACAUUAUUGGAUUGUGUAUUUGUUGGUUGUAAAUUGUACGACUUGUUUAUGACUAAGCUUGUGAUUGAGGUGUGUUCAAUUUUGUUUUGCUUCAAAGAACUGAUAUGAAACUUUUUGGGAUUGAUAAACAUGCAUGCUCCACUCUCUUGUUGGUUCUCAUUGGCAAAACAUCUUACUGAUUUUGGUUGCUCUCAUAGGACACACAUUUUCUUGAGGAUUUCAAGGUAUGAAGGACUUGUGAAGAGCUGGAGAAAAUGAAGCAUUCCUUGGGAAACUGAAAUAUUUAAGACUCUUGAAAAUUUGUCUUUGAAGCUUGGGCUUGUCAAGAUCUCUUAUCUCUCUAGUGCACUCAUCGGUGCCAUAUAAACCCCAAACCAGUCAUUGAUUGCUACUUCUAAGACCUCUCUUGAAGCAUGGACGAUAUCAGCUUCUACGUACAGUAAACCAUCUGAAGGUCAUAUCAAACAAUUAAAGAAUUAGCUUAAACAAUUGUGAAGUUAAGGGGACAAAUACAAUCUAUCAAUAUAUGCAAUGCACCUCAUCAAGACCAGAGCUCAUGCUCUUACUCUUCUCGGCAGUCCAUCUUGUGAAGCUUCAAUCACGGAUCACCGACAAUUACUGUCCGGAAUGUAUGAUUGCUUCUUUUACCAAGCAGCCCGUCUUUCAUGAACCUUAAACCGCAAACAAAUUCUAUAAACAUGCAUUUUAACUUACAAAUAUUUGUCGGGCUCUGUUGAACUGAUGGACCAUUAUAGAGUUGGACUACGAGAACAAGAGGCAUAAUUCUAAACUUGAGAAGAAGACACAUAAGUUUUCUAUAAAAAC
RNAcentral lists this long non-coding RNA (1682 nucleotides) under Capsella grandiflora. Its description in RNAcentral is "long non-coding RNA (CGRA_LNC000009)". Lineage: Eukaryota; Viridiplantae; Streptophyta; Magnoliopsida; Brassicales; Brassicaceae. The record is from RNAcentral.